Lasius niger is the source of this 46-nucleotide non-coding RNA. NCBI's taxonomy places the organism in Eukaryota, Metazoa, Arthropoda, Insecta, Hymenoptera, Formicidae. The record is from Rfam.
CAAUCGGCCCUUUUCAGGGCCAACACAAAAUUAAUACAAACAAAAU